Molecule: ribosomal RNA, 470 nt
Filed under: Paenibacillus sp. R-45816
Lineage: Bacteria; Bacillati; Bacillota; Bacilli; Caryophanales; Paenibacillaceae
Description: bacterial SSU rRNA
Rfam family: Bacterial small subunit ribosomal RNA
Source: RNAcentral
GGCUCAGGACGAACGCUGGCGGCGUGCCUAAUACAUGCAAGUCGAGCGGGGUUGWUUAGAAGCUUGCUUCUAAWCAACCUAGCGGCGGACGGGUGAGUAACACGUAGGCAACCUGCCCACAAGACAGGGAUAACUACCGGAAACGGUAGCUAAUACCCGAUACAUCCUUUUCCUGCAUGGGAGAAGGAGGAAAGACGGAGCAAUCUGUCACUUGUGGAUGGGCCUGCGGCGCAUUAGCUAGUUGGUGGGGUAAAGGCCUACCAAGGCGACGAUGCGUAGCCGACCUGAGAGGGUGAUCGGCCACACUGGGACUGAGACACGGCCCAGACUCCUACGGGAGGCAGCAGUAGGGAAUCUUCCGCAAUGGGCGAAAGCCUGACGGAGCAACGCCGCGUGAGUGAUGAAGGUUUUCGGAUCGUAAAGCUCUGUUGCCAGGGAAGAACGUCUUGUAGAGUAACUGCUACAAGAGU